GACGAACGCUGGCGGCGUGCUUAACACAUGCAAGUCGAACGGAAAGGCCCUGCUUGCAGGGUACUCGAGUGGCGAACGGGUGAGUAACACGUGGGUGAUCUGCCCUGCACUUCGGGAUAAGCCUGGGAAACUGGGUCUAAUACCGGAUAGGAGCCAUUUUUAGUGUGAUGGUUGGAAAGUUUUUUCGGUGUAGGAUGAGCUCGCGGCCUAUCAGCUUGUUGGUGGGGUAAUGGCCUACCAAGGCGGCGACGGGUAGCCGGCCUGGGAGGGUGGACGGCCACAUUGGGACUGAGAUACGGCCCAGACUCCGACGGGAGGCAGCAGUGGGGAAUAUUGCACAAUGGGCGCAAGCCUGAUGCAGCGACGCCGCGUGGGGGAUGACGGCCUUCGGGUUGUAAACUCCUUUCGCUAGGGACGAAGCUUUUUGUGACGGUACCUAGAUAAGAAGCACCGGCUAACUACGUG
This 465-nucleotide ribosomal RNA is filed under the name uncultured bacterium. RNAcentral's name for it is "partial 16S ribosomal RNA". It matches the Rfam family "Bacterial small subunit ribosomal RNA", at positions 28 to 507 of the family's 1533-position model. The record is from RNAcentral.